UACGUAGGGUGCGAGCGUUGUUCGGAAUUACUGGGCGUAAAGGGCUCGUAGGCGGCCAACUAAGUCAGACGUGAAAUCCCUCGGCUUAACCGGGGAACUGCAUCUGAUACUGGAUGGCUUGAGUUCGGGAGAGGGAUGUGGAAUUCCAGGUGUAGCGGUGAAAUGCGUAGAUAUCUGGAGGAACACCGGUGGCGAAGGCGGCAUCCUGGACCGACACUGACGCUGAGGAGCGAAAGCCAGGGGAGCAAACGGG
This 253-nucleotide ribosomal RNA is filed under the name uncultured bacterium. RNAcentral's name for it is "partial 16S ribosomal RNA". It matches the Rfam family "Bacterial small subunit ribosomal RNA", at positions 524 to 776 of the family's 1533-position model. The record is from RNAcentral.